ACUUCCUAAGCCGGAACGAAAAGUGAAUUAGCAGUAACGCUAUGAAACUUUUGGCUUUGUGGUUGUGAUGUUGUGUUUGCAAGUUGUCUGGGAAACUAGACUGU
This 104-nucleotide unclassified non-coding RNA is filed under the name Photorhabdus asymbiotica. It matches the Rfam family "GcvB RNA", at positions 1 to 106 of the family's 204-position model. From Rfam's summary of the family: The gcvB gene encodes a small untranslated RNA involved in expression of the dipeptide and oligopeptide transport systems in Escherichia coli. Included several unknown homologues in alignment (Bateman A pers obs). Lineage: Bacteria; Pseudomonadati; Pseudomonadota; Gammaproteobacteria; Enterobacterales; Morganellaceae. The record is from RNAcentral.